Molecule: ribosomal RNA, 305 nt
Filed under: uncultured bacterium
Lineage: Bacteria
Description: bacterial SSU rRNA
Rfam family: Bacterial small subunit ribosomal RNA
Source: RNAcentral
CCUACGGGACGCAGCAGUAGGGAAUUUUCGUCAAUGGGCGCAAGCCUGAACGAGCGAUGCCGCGUGAGUGAAGAAGGUUUUCGGAUCGUAAAACUCUGUUGGUAGAGAAGAACGUUGGUGAGAGUGGAAAGCUCAUCGAGUGACGGUAACUACCCAGAAAGGGACGGCUAACUACGUGCCAGCAGCCGCGGUAAUACGUAGGUCCCGAGCGUUGUCCGGAUUUAUUGGGCGUAAAGCGAGCGCAGGUGGUUUAUUAAGUCUGGUGUAAAAGGCAGUGGCUCAACCAUUGUAUGCAUUGGAAACUG